Molecule: long non-coding RNA, 2100 nt
Organism: Mustela lutreola (European mink)
Lineage: Eukaryota; Metazoa; Chordata; Mammalia; Carnivora; Mustelidae
Exons: 4
Source: RefSeq, a predicted model, not a curated record
CGCUUUCCAUGGUGUCGGUCGCCUACGAUCCACCGGAGUCUGGAAGCUGGUGAUGCUCCUUCUGGGGCUCCGUGGGGUCACUCGCAGCCGAACGCAGCAUCACACGGCCAUGUCAUUCACCUCACUUCUCAUCACGUGGGCAUUUUGUCAUGCACACCAUCAUUGUAGGAAGAAGGGCAGUCGUCCUCAGCCUGGGAGAUCCUGCUGCCGGGAGACAGAGACAUCUGCCCCUUCACAGCAGGGAAGCAUCUGGACCCACGUGUCUGUGAGACCGAGGUUGAGACAUUCUGCUUCAGGGACGCUGAGGCCCCGAGAUAUUGUAGCCACCCUGAUCAAUGUGCCUACAGUGGCCCCGUGACUCUGAAGGUGAUCAAAAGCCACAUUUCUGGGUGGCAGGCACUCAGCAAGACAAUCCCCAUGCAUGACCACUGACCGUCACCUGUGAGGAAGACAGCAUGCUGGGCUUUUUCAUGGAAAAUCUGUAACUCCAGGAAGAAGAACGUUCUAGAAAUAGCUCCUGAGAACCUGGGGAUAUAAUGCACUUCGGUGUUUUCUUCAACACAAAACCCUUCUUGCUUGUUGGUGGGCACACUGGCAAGAUGAAACUCUGAGUCCUGACAUCCGGGACAGGUUCCCAUGACCCCCGGCUGCUCCCAGAGCUGUGCUCAGGGUGGGGGACGAGGGGCUCCUCUCUGGGGGUGCCCACAGUCCCCCGCCCAAAGCUGCGUCGUUUGGUCUCCACGCUGUCAGCAUCCGAUGCUUUUCAGAUAUCGGGAACAUGGUCAGCUCCUCCUGCUUUCUGUGCUCCUUGCAAGUCCUGUUAUCAUUUGCUUUUUACAAUCCUGGACACAGUAAGGAGGUUUUAAAUCCCUCAAACGUGUUCUAAAAGGCAGCUCCCAGCUCUGUUAGUGUGACCUUUGCAGCGCCCCGUGACUUACGUGGUUGGCCAUUUGUCUUCCUCUUUUUUAAAUAACAGCAACCAAAGGAAGGGGUGGGAAGUUGAGAGCCUGUUCUGGUGGGGACACAGAAGGGUUACGAAUGCUCUUCCACUAUCACCCGACAGCCUUUGGCAUUUCAAAGGCCUGACGGGGUUUUAUGGGGCUGCAGGCUGUUCCCUGGAAACCUGUGUAGCUACAAAUCUAGGAGGACCUCACCUCCCCUGCUGUCACCUACCACCUACCGGUGACCUUGGAGGUUGUCACCGGAUACCCCCCGUUCUCUAGGGAGGAAUGGCAUUCUCUCUCUUGGAGAGCCUUUGACAAUAUACUUUGGAGCCAAUGAAUGUCCAAGUCACUGGGUUUUUAAAUUUUUAUUUAUUUAUUUUUAAAAAUAUUUUAUGUAUUUAUUUGAGAGAGAGCAUGAGAGGGCGGCAGAGGGAAAGAAACAAUCGGGCUCUCCGCUGAGCAGGGAACCCAAUGCGGGGCUCCAUGCGGGGCUCGAUCUCAUGACCCUGGGAUCAUGACCCGAGUCUAAGACAGACACUUAAUCGACUGAGCCACCCACGUGACCACCAAGUCAUUAGUUUUUUUCAGCCCACUUUGUGGAGAUACCAUGAGCAUGCAGUAAGCUGUACGUGUGGCGUGUAUACAGCCGGAGGAGUUUGCAAAGGAAGGACGCACCCUGAAGCUAUCACUCCAUCCUAUGCCAUAAACGCGGGGGAUGCUCAAGAGAGUCCUCCAUCCUCUCCUUUGUAGCUGCCGUGAGCCUUUGCUGGGAUGUGGGCACUUCCAGAAUGUUAGAGCCUCCUGACUCGAUCGCUGAUCGCCUCAGGGGCGGUGCAGGACUGCACUUCACCGACAAGGCCCUUCCGAUCUUCAUGUGAAUUCUUUUGUUUGGGGGAAUUUCUUCAAUGCCAUUGUCUAUCUCUCCAGUAGAAACUGGAUCGUUUUGAAAUCUCAAGCCGCUUCAGACAGUUUUGAUGGAUUUUAGUACUAAAUAGCGUAGACCGUAGUGCUUGAACUACUCCUGCGAUGGUAGGAACUGACCGCCCCAUCUUGUUCGCCGGUUCUUCAAGCCUCUUUAUCACCAACGCCUGAAGGAGGAGAGCCGGACGCAGCCUUCGCUGGUGUCUGCUCUGCUGCCCCGGGUGCAGGUGGACGA